This 491-nucleotide long non-coding RNA is filed under the name Homo sapiens (human). Its description in RNAcentral is "HSALNT0388898". The record is from RNAcentral. Lineage: Eukaryota; Metazoa; Chordata; Mammalia; Primates; Hominidae.
GCUGGUCUCGAACUACUGACCUCGUGAUCCACCCACCUUGGCCUCCUAAAGUGCUGAGAUUACAGGUGUGGGAAGGUGUCUUUUAAAUUAUAGUGCAUAUAGUUAUAACUAACAGCUGUGAAUUCAGAGCUGUAAAAAUAAAGCAAAGAAACCACAUUGUGUUUGAGUCAGCAAUCUUUAGGUCUCUACUAAGUUAUCCUAAAUAUAAUCCUAUGUUAGUCCCUAAACAUACUUAGUCCCUAUAUUCUAAAUAUAAUCCUACUUCCUAAAGAAAAUCAUGCUUUCCCCUAAUUCUCUGUUAUCUAGAUGUUGCUUUGGUUAAAGGAAGAACACAAAUAUCCUGCCAAAAGGUAUUCUGUUCAGUGCAAAAGAAACAGUCCCACAUCCUGCUCUCUCCCACAACACACUAUGCAUUCAGGCUUAUUAUAUUUUACAUGUCCUAUGCUUACAAUUCAUUCAGAUGGAGUCUCACUCUGUCACCCAGCCUGGAG